CGCUCUAGCUAUACCACCCAGUACACACCUGAUUUUGUCUGAUCUCGAAAGCUAAGCAGGGUCAGGUUUGGUUAAUACUUGGAUGGGAUAACUAUAGUAAAUCAAAAAAAUAUUUUGA
This 118-nucleotide ribosomal RNA is filed under the name Sorex araneus (European shrew). The record is from RNAcentral. Lineage: Eukaryota; Metazoa; Chordata; Mammalia; Eulipotyphla; Soricidae.